UGGGGAAUAUUGGGCAAUGGAGGAAACUCUGACCCAGCAACGCCGCGUGAGGGAAGAAGGCCUUCGGGUUGUAAACCUCUGUCCCAUGGGACGAAGAAGUGACGGUACCAUGGGAGGAAGCUCCGGCUAACUACGUGCCAGCAGCCGCGGUAAUACGUAGGGAGCGAGCGUUGUCCGGAAUUACUGGGCGUAAAGGGUGCGCAGGCGGCUCUUCAAGUCAGAUGUGAAAGACCGGGGCUCAACUCCGGGGGUGCAUUUGAAACUGGAGAGCUAGAGGAUGGCAGAGGUAAGUGGAAUUCCUAGUGUAGCGGUGGAAUGCGUAGAUAUUAGGAGGAACACCAGUGGCGAAGGCGGCUUACUGGGCCAUUACUGACGCUGAGGCACGAAAGCGUGGGGAGCAAACAGG
RNAcentral lists this ribosomal RNA (406 nucleotides) under uncultured bacterium. RNAcentral describes it as "bacterial SSU rRNA". It matches the Rfam family "Bacterial small subunit ribosomal RNA", at positions 355 to 776 of the family's 1533-position model. The record is from RNAcentral.